AGCUUCGUAGCUCAGCUGAUGGAGCGCUUCUCGCAUUUGGACAUAGUGAUUGCGUCGCUGGUUCGAAUCCAGCCGAAGCCG
This is a non-coding RNA of Paragonimus heterotremus, 81 nucleotides long. The record is from the annotation of a GenBank genome assembly. Lineage: Eukaryota; Metazoa; Platyhelminthes; Trematoda; Plagiorchiida; Troglotrematidae.